This 265-nucleotide ribosomal RNA is filed under the name uncultured archaeon. RNAcentral's name for it is "partial 16S ribosomal RNA". It matches the Rfam family "Archaeal small subunit ribosomal RNA", at positions 717 to 982 of the family's 1478-position model. The record is from RNAcentral.
AGACGUCUACAUUAGAUACCCGCGUAGUCCCAGCCGUAAACUAUGCGCGUUAGGUGUAUCGGUGACCACGAGUUACCGAGGUGCCGAAGGGAAACCGUGAAACGUGCCGCCUGGGAAGUACGGUCGCAAGGCUGAAACUUAAAGGAAUUGGCGGGGGAGCACCACAACAGGUGGAGCCUGCGGUUUAAUUGGACUCAACGCCGGGAAGCUCACCGGAUAGGACAGCAGAAUGAUUGCCGGGCUGAAGACCCUGCAUGACCAGCUG